Molecule: signal recognition particle RNA, 299 nt
Filed under: Aotus nancymaae (Ma's night monkey)
Lineage: Eukaryota; Metazoa; Chordata; Mammalia; Primates; Aotidae
Description: Metazoan signal recognition particle RNA (ENSANAG00000011067.1)
Rfam family: Metazoan signal recognition particle RNA
About the family: The signal recognition particle (SRP) is a universally conserved ribonucleoprotein. It is involved in the co-translational targeting of proteins to membranes.
Source: RNAcentral
GCCAGGCAUGGUGGCGUGCGCCUGUAGUCCCAGCUACUCCAGAGGCUGAGGCUGGAGGAUCACUUGAGCCCAGGAGUUCUGGGCUGUAGUGUGCUAUGUCAAUUGGGUGUCCGCACUAAGUUAAGCAUCAAUAUGGUGACCUCCCAGGAGCGGGGGACCACCAGGUUGCCUAAGGAGGGGUGAACCAGCCCAGGUCAGAAACAGAGCAGGUCAAAACUCCCAUGCUGAUCAGUAGUGGGAUCGCGCCUGUGAAUAGCCACUGUACUCCAGCCUGGGCAACAUAGCGAGACCUUGUCUCU